Nyctereutes procyonoides (raccoon dog) is the source of this 3113-nucleotide long non-coding RNA. RefSeq lists it as uncharacterized. The transcript has 4 exons. The record is from RefSeq and is a predicted model, not a curated record. Lineage: Eukaryota; Metazoa; Chordata; Mammalia; Carnivora; Canidae.
GCGCGCACGCCUGACGUCAGCGGCCAGCGUGAGUCACGCGCGCAGGGAGAGCGCGAGGCGGCCUCUCCCUCCCCCCUUCCUCCUCCGGCCCGGCCCAGACCGGUUCCAACCUGCUGGGGCCGGUCCCAACUGCCUCCCAACUGCCACCAACCCCUGGCCGGGCCGUGGGGCGGGAAAGCCGGGCCCGGCCGCUGAGUGGGGAAGGCGGGCGCGCGAGCGCGCGGAGAGCGCACAUCUCGGGCCAGGCCUGUGAGGCCUAACUGUUCCUCAGACCGUGAAAACCACAGUGUCAGGCCCUGGCGGGGCGAUAAGCGGCCCCGGCGCACAGCCGGGAUGAGUGCCUCGGGGGCCUGCCCUCGAGCCGCUGCGAGUGACGAGCGGCGCGGGGUCCUGUCAGGCGCCCCGCGCUCCGCGCCCGGGAGCCCUUUUGUGUCCCCGAAGCCCCGUAUGUCGGUGGAGGCCCCCUCCAGCUGGGAACUUGCUGGGACAGCGGACCCGGCCUGAGUCGGGGACCCCGAGGGCGAUGGGGUCCGCGGGGGUCCCGUAGACGGAAACGCCCUCCCCGGGGCUCCGCGCGCGUCGGAGUGCGGGUCCCCGGCGCCGCCGCCUCGUGUUGUCCGGAGGCGCGUUAAGGGACCACCUAGCGCUGGGGCCCUGAGCGGGGGCGGCAGGCUGCCGAGGCAGGCCCUCGUCCUCAGCAGUGUUGGUCCCCGCCCCGCCCCCACGCCCCACGCUCUUGGGGCUCCCAGGUGCUGUGCGUGUUUAGAGGGAGCCCCGGGAGGACCUGAGGCCUGCCACCCGGUCCUGCCGCCCGGUGAGCCGAGAGCAGGAAGCCUCCUCUGGUGGAGUAGAAGGAACUAAAACUAGACAGGAGGAGCUCCCGGUUGUCACUCACCGAACUAUGUUAGAUACUAAAGAAGGCUUCCCCACAAUCCAUUUGCAUCUGCUUUGACUGGUGGUUUCUAUCAACCUACAAAGACUGACUUAUUGGUGAGGGCAGCUGGACAACUCUGAGAGCAACUUAGAGAAAUCCAUCUUGGGCACACUCUAUAAAGGAGCUCCUUCUCUGGAAAUAGCACCCCAGAUAAGUGCACAAAAGCAAGACACCCUCGUGGACCUACUUCCUCCCGCUUUCAACACCCUGAUGCCUGAAGCUAUGCUUGAUACUAAAGGAGGUUUUCCCACAUUUGCAUCUUCUAUAUUUUGAAAUUGCAACUAUGGAAAGUUAUGGCUAAUCCUAGUAGAUUGUCUUCCCUUCUUUUAACAUCUUGGAUGAAUUUGGGGCACACUAAUGUGUUAAGUGAAGAUGGAUAUUGAAUAUACUGUGUAGAUUCACCUCAGCCAGCCAUCUUAAAAUACCUGCAUGGGCCACAGAGAUAUCUGCGGAGAAAGUAUGGGUAAAAUCAGUGCAUAUGAUAAUAGGUAUGGGGUUUCUUUUUGGGGUGAUGGAAAUGUUCUAGAAUUAGAUAGUGGUGAUAAUUCUACAACAUGGUGAAUAUACUAAGAACCACUGAGACGUACACUUUAAAAUGGUGAAAUUUUUAUGUUGUGUAAAUUACAUCUUGAUUAUUUUUUUAAAAGCAUUAAAAAAAUCAGUGUAUAACAGUCUAUCAGACUCAUGUGGCCUUUCAGGGAUUGGCAGCAUCAUUUGGUUAUGGGAAAGCCUACAGUUUGUGAAAAGCUCAUUGGUGCCGCUUUUCUAGCCUUCUCAAUGGCUUGGUCCCUGUGUAUCCAUUCUAGGUGAAUUUCCCCAUGUUCUAGGUCUGUGGAGAUGCUUUUGAGAUAAGAACUGAAUACUCAGCAAGUUUGAGAUGCCCUAGUUGUUGGUAGUGGUACUUCAAAUAGUCUCUGAAUUGACAGCCAUUAUAAGGAACAAGCACAUUUUUUCCCAGUGCCUUUGUAAAAUUAAAUUGAGCUUCCUAGGGUGGGUGGGGGAUAGAGGGUUGCUGUUCUGCUGAAAUGUAAUGAAUUCCAUUCUCAGUUAUUUUAUGGUGGUUUUAAUGUUCACAUUGGCAUUUCUUUACGGACAGGCCAUGUGUUUUAGGCAUUUUAAAUUAUAUCAAUGGCUAUAAUAUUUUAGUACAAGUAAUCACAAAUUUUUUUUUCUCUAUACAAUCCCUCAACUUUCACCCCUUUUUUCUUUGCCAGUGUGUAGAAUUUGACAGCAGUAUCAAGAGCUGAUGAGGAAGAGAAGAUGGAAAGGAGUCUAGCGACUUAAAAAAUCUCAUAGCGUUCUCUGUGAGGUGACCUUUUUCCUGUUGGGGGCUCAACUUAUUUAGGAGAUAAAGAAGAUAUUCAGGCCUGUGAUAGUGUCAUUAUGUCAUAUCUGAGCUUAUUGAAAUGUUUCAUCCCUUAUAUAACAGUUUGCUUUUUGUGUUAAGUCGACUCGUUUGUUUCCUACUAGUAUUUGAAACACAUAUGGCCACAGUAAGUCUUGACAAAUUGACUUCUAAUGAGGAGGGGAACGGCCGAUGUGCCCACUUUCCUGUGAAAUUUUAGCCUUGUCACAAAACUACCCCCACUGAGGAGAGGUAGUUAUGUUUAGGAAAGAAGAGGUUGGGAAAAACCUUUGGCCUGGUGUUUUGAGACUUAACAGUUUAAAUAUAGUUUUUAUAUGUAAGUUUUUAUUAAUUCUGGUAAGAACAUUAUAUUUUUGACAUUUACUGCUUAGAGGUGCCAAGUAUUUGGUAGCCCACCACAUUAGGAUUUGUGUAAAUCAAUCUAUCCAAACAUAACAUAAAUUAGAAGCCCAUACUUGUAUUUUUUAUUUUAAAAAACUCCAAAACUUAAAUUUUAUAAUUGAACUAAAGAGUAUUUCAUAAUGAAUAUUAAAUUUUCAGUAAAGCAUGUUAAAGUUAACAUUUCUGUUUUUUAUUUUUAGUAACUCAUUUUGUGGUUGUUGUAAUUAUGGCCUGUUAAAAACUCCCUGACAUAUCUUGAACAGCUUUUAGAGAGUCACUUAUGCUUAUUUGCUAUUCCUCUUGUUUUUCUUUUUAGCUCAAUUAAGAAAAGCAUAGUUAACAGUCAGCAUGAUGUUUAAGAGUACUGACUCCAGGGCCAGACUGAUUGAGUUUGAAGUCCAGCUCUGCCAGUUACUAGCUGUGGGACCUUAG